AUGUGGCCAGUGGCCAGAGUGGGGCUGGGGAAGCUCUUGGCCCCAGGAAAGCAGUCUCUGCCCUUGGGGGCUGUGGCUCCAUGGGGCUGGGGGCAGCAGGGGACAGAGCUGGGGGCUGCGUCUGUCACCCCACAGGCUGCCAGGGCUCCCCAGGCUGUGCACGGUCCAGACCUGCCUGAAGCUCCUGCCUGUGUGGCUUUUGCUUUGGUUUUGGAGCUGCAACUCCACAAAUCCCAGCCUUUCCUCUGCCCCACUAUCAUGGCAAGUGCUCCCCAAGCCCUGGGGCAGCACAUCCUGCUGUGGGGGGCUGUGGCUCCCCUUCUCAUCCACCUUUUGCUUUUAGAGCAGCUUCCCCAGGCCGCAGGCAGGGCACAGCAAGAAACAAGCACACUUAGGUUCUGCCAGAGGCAUGUGGGGCCGUGCCGGUCCCUGCUCCAGCCUCACACCAGGGCUGGGGGCACCAGGUCCUGGAGGAAGAUGGUCCCCACUCCUGCCUGCUCCCAAGCUCUGAGGACAGGGGCUUUCUGGUCCUCUGCCCCCAGCCCCAGAGCGGCUCACCCCAGGCCGACACUCUACCUCGGCCCCGCAGCGGCCGGGCCGCCCCUGCUCUGCCCCGCCUCUCCUGCUGCCCGGCCGGGGGACAUGGGGGCCAUCGGUCUCAGUUGUGUGUGUCCGUGUUGCACCCGGCCCCGAGGGCCGCUGUACGGGGAUGCUCUGCCUGCUGGGCUCUGUACAUACUGUAAAAAGCAAUUGUUUGAAAGCUGUUGUUUUGGGUUUUGUUUUCUUUCCCCGUUUCUUCCCCAUCCCACUGUACCCAGUUGGAAAGGAGGUGCUGGCUGCUCUCGGCCCAGUUCAGGUGCCGGUGGCACGGUGGCCCCAGCCUGCUCUUGUUGUCUGACCCAUUUUUCUUCCACUCUUUGUUGUGUUUGGAAGGAGACGGGGCCGCGUGGCCCAGCACACUCCGCAGGGACAAGGUGGGUUGAUGGACCCACCCCACACCCGUCACAGAGCCAGCCACAUGCAGCCACGGGACUGGGGCCUGGCGGGGUCGGGGUGCUUUGGAGAGCCCCACAUCCCGCCCGUGGAGGAGUGUCCUGCUGGCUGCUCCUACCUCCAGCCUCGGCCGGCCCGGCACAGCCGGGCUCCCAGCACGGCCGGGGCCCACAGCGGCUCCAGCGGCGCAGAGGAAGUGCCUGGGGGUGUUGGGGUGCCACGGGCUUUGCUGGCAGUCGGAGGGGGUCGGGGGCUGCUCCCCACCUUCCCAGUUGGGUCCCAGUUGAGUCUCCCUUUAGGUGUUAA
RNAcentral lists this long non-coding RNA (1299 nucleotides) under Chloebia gouldiae (Gouldian finch). Its description in RNAcentral is "Erythrura gouldiae (Gouldian finch) lncRNA (ENSEGOG00005019216.1)". The record is from RNAcentral. Lineage: Eukaryota; Metazoa; Chordata; Aves; Passeriformes; Passeridae.